Molecule: ribosomal RNA, 497 nt
Filed under: uncultured bacterium
Lineage: Bacteria
Description: partial 16S ribosomal RNA
Rfam family: Bacterial small subunit ribosomal RNA
Source: RNAcentral
GAUGAACGCUGGCGGCGUGCCUAAUACAUGCAAGUCGAGCGAAGAGACGAGGUGCUUGCUCCUCUGACGUUAGCGGCGGACGGGUGAGUAACACGUGGAUAACCUACCUAUAAGACUGGGAUAACUUCGGGAAACGAGUGCUAAUACCGCAUAAUAUCUUUAAACACAUGGUUCAAUAGUGAAAGACGCUUUUGCUUCACCUAAUGGAUGGAUCGGCGCCGCAUUAGCUGGUGGGUAGGUUAACGGCCUCCCAGGCCAAGGAACCGUAGCCGCCCUGAAGGGGUGAUGGCCACAAUGGGAACGAGACACCGGCCCAACCCCCUACGGGAGGCGCAGGAAGGAAACUUUCGGAAAUGGGCGAAGUCCUGACGGAGCAAGGCGGCGUGAGUAAUGAAGGUCUCCGGAUCGUAAAACUCUUUUAUUAGGGAAAAACAAAGGUGUAAGUAAAUAUGCACGUCUUGACGGUACCUAAUCAGAAAGCCACGGCUAACUACGUG